This 213-nucleotide ribosomal RNA is filed under the name uncultured bacterium. Its description in RNAcentral is "partial 16S ribosomal RNA". It matches the Rfam family "Bacterial small subunit ribosomal RNA", at positions 8 to 214 of the family's 1533-position model. The record is from RNAcentral.
AGAGUUUGAUCAUGGCUCAGGAUGAACGCUAGCGGCAGGCUUAACACAUGCAAGUCGAGGGGCAUCAUUGGAGUAGCAAUACUUCAGAUGGCGACCGACGCACGGGUGCGUAACGCGUAUGCAACCUACCUUUAACAGGGGGAUAACACUGAGAAAUCGGUACUAAUACCCCAUAACAUCGCAGACGGCAUCGUUUGCGGUUGAAAACUCCGG